AACGAACGCUGGCGGCAGGCCUAACACAUGCAAGUCGAGCGCCCCGCAAGGGGAGCGGCAGACGGGUGAGUAACGCGUGGGUAUCUACCUAGUGGUACGGAAUAGCCCAGGGAAACUUGGAGUAAUACCGUAUACGCCCGAAAGGGGAAAGAUUUAUCGCCAUUAGAUGAGCCCGCGUUGGAUUAGCUAGUUGGUGGGGUAACGGCCCACCAAGGCGACGAUCCAUAGCUGGUCUGAGAGGAUGACCAGCCACACUGGGACUGAGACACGGCCCAGACUCCUACGGGAGGCAGCAGUGGGGAAUCUUGGACAAUGGGCGAAAGCCUGAUCCAGCCAUGCCGCGUGAGUGACGAAGGUCUUCGGAUUGUAAAGCUCUUUUGGCGGGGACGAUAAUGACGGUACCCGCAGAAUAAGCCCCGGCUAACUUCGUGCCAGCAGCCGCGGUAA
RNAcentral lists this ribosomal RNA (447 nucleotides) under uncultured bacterium. RNAcentral's name for it is "partial 16S ribosomal RNA". It matches the Rfam family "Bacterial small subunit ribosomal RNA", at positions 29 to 523 of the family's 1533-position model. The record is from RNAcentral.